Pelodiscus sinensis (Chinese soft-shelled turtle) is the source of this 868-nucleotide non-coding RNA. The record is from RefSeq and is a predicted model, not a curated record. Lineage: Eukaryota; Metazoa; Chordata; Testudines; Trionychidae.
ACAUGCUAGAAAAUGGGACAAAUUACAGUUUGGACCAAUUGGUAUUUUCUUAUCAAAAUAUUAAAAGUGGUAAUCAAGAUUAAGGGCCAAGUUACAUGUACUACGUUAAUUACAGACAUUAAGAACUGUCAGGCCUUAGAGGACUAAGGACCUAAUUUCAUACAACUUCAGAGGCUGUAUACUCAUUUUAUGCUGAGUAAAAGCAAUAGGAUGCUAAAUCUUUAAAACUAACUCUCAAAUUUUACAGAAUAUGUGUUGUAAAGAUGAUUCAUAUAAAAAAAAACUAAAGGAGAAUUUACCAUAUCAGACAAACAACUGGAAAGGUUUGUAGAUCAAUGGAGAAAAGAUUAAGAAAAUCAAAGAAGAUAUAAGGAUCCUUUAAUAAAUAAAGACAAUUAACUAACUUCAGCCAGCAUGUAAGUGAGCAAAAUUCUCAUUCAAACUAUCAUUGAGUUGCACCUGCUUCUACCUGGACUUAGUUGGAUCCUUCAUCAAAAGAAAUAUGUGUGUGGGGGAAGAGAUAUGUUUCCGAACAUAAAUGUAAAUGGAUUGGAACACAGCUUCAUUUCAGAUUGUAAGUAAUAAUUGCCUAGCAACACUGCAGGAACUUCAUUAGAUGCCAUGCUUAAUAAAAAGUGGGGAGCACCAGGGACCUGCACAACAAGAGGAUUAUGAUAUUUAAUCAGCCCAAAGUUGUAGUCAUAAAGCUUCAUUAGGUAACACUUUCAAAACCUGAAAUCAGGGGGGAUGAUCUGAAACAGGAGUAAGUGAACUAUUCACAAAUAGCAAGUCAAGUUAUGCAAUUAAUCUCACCCUUUUUUCUGUUCAUGACCAGCUUUAUCUAUCUAUCUAUCUAUCUAUCUAUCUA